RNAcentral lists this ribosomal RNA (92 nucleotides) under Lysionotus pauciflorus. RNAcentral describes it as "partial 26S ribosomal RNA". It matches the Rfam family "Eukaryotic large subunit ribosomal RNA", at positions 61 to 152 of the family's 3401-position model. Lineage: Eukaryota; Viridiplantae; Streptophyta; Magnoliopsida; Lamiales; Gesneriaceae. The record is from RNAcentral.
GAAACUUACAAGGAUUCCCCUAGUAACGGCGAGCGAACCGGGAAUAGCCCAACUUGAGAAUCGGGCGACCAUGUCACUCGAAUUGUAGUCUG